RNAcentral lists this ribosomal RNA (476 nucleotides) under Candidatus Scalindua brodae. Its description in RNAcentral is "bacterial SSU rRNA". It matches the Rfam family "Bacterial small subunit ribosomal RNA", at positions 365 to 832 of the family's 1533-position model. Lineage: Bacteria; Pseudomonadati; Planctomycetota; Candidatus Brocadiia; Candidatus Brocadiales; Candidatus Scalinduaceae. The record is from RNAcentral.
UUCGCAAUGCCCGAAAGGGUGACGAAGCGACGCCGCGUGGGUGAGGAAGGCCUUCGGGUUGUAAAGCCCUGUCAGGAGUUAAGAAAUGUAGGUUCGCUAAUAUCGUGCCUAUUUGACAAAGGCUCCAAAGGAAGCACGGCUAACUCUGUGCCAGCAGCCGCGGUAAUACAGAGGUGGCAAGCGUUGUUCGGAAUUAUUGGGCGUAAAGAGCACGUAGGUGGAUUUGUAAGUCAGAUGUGAAAGCCUUCUGUUCAACGGGAGAAUUGCAUCUGAAACUACAAACCUUGAGUAUAGGAGGGGAGAAUGGAACUUCUGGUGGAGCGGUGAAAUGCGUAGAUAUCAGAAGGAACGCCGGCGGCGAAAGCGAUUCUCUGGCCUAUUACUGACACUCAGUGUGCGAAAGCUAGGGGAGCAGACGGGAUUAGAUACCCCGGUAGUCCUAGCCGUAAACGAUGGGCACUAAGUAGAGGGGUUUU